This 460-nucleotide ribosomal RNA is filed under the name uncultured bacterium. RNAcentral's name for it is "partial 16S ribosomal RNA". It matches the Rfam family "Bacterial small subunit ribosomal RNA", at positions 338 to 795 of the family's 1533-position model. The record is from RNAcentral.
CCUACGGGGGGCAGCAGUGAGGAAUAUUGGUCAAUGGGCGGGAGCCUGAACCAGCCAAGCCGCGUGAGGGAAGAAGGUACAGCGUAUCGUAAACCUCUUUUGUCAGGGAACAAAGGCGGGGACUAGUCCCCGGAUGAGGGUACCUGAAGAAAAAGCAUCGGCUAACUCCGUGCCAGCAGCCGCGGUAAUACGGAGGAUCCGAGCGUUAUCCGGAUUUAUUGGGUUUAAAGGGAGCGUAGGUGGAUUGUUAAGUCAGUUGUGAAAGUUUGCGGCUCAACCGUAAAAUUGCAGUUGAAACUGGCAGUCUUGAGUACAGUAGAGGUGGGCGGAAUUCGUGGUGUAGCGGUGAAAUGCUUAGAUAUCACGAAGAACUCCGAUUGCGAAGGCAGUUCACUGGACUGAAACUGACACUGAGGCUCGAAAGUGUGGGGAUCAAACAGGAUUAGAUACCCCAGUAGUC